UACGUAGGUCCCGAGCGUUGUCCGGAUUUAUUGGGCGUAAAGCGAGCGCAGGUGGUUUAUUAAGUCUGGUGUAAAAGGCAGUGGCUCAACCAUUGUAUGCAUUGGAAACUGGUAGACUUGAGUGCAGGAGAGGAGAGUGGAAUUCCAUGUGUAGCGGUGAAAUGCGUAGAUAUAUGGAGGAACACCGGUGGCGAAAGCGGCUCUCUGGCCUGUAAUUGACACUGGGGCUCGAAAGCGUGGGGAGCAAACAGG
This 252-nucleotide ribosomal RNA is filed under the name uncultured bacterium. Its description in RNAcentral is "partial 16S ribosomal RNA". It matches the Rfam family "Bacterial small subunit ribosomal RNA", at positions 524 to 776 of the family's 1533-position model. The record is from RNAcentral.